AUAAUUAUGUGAAAUUUAUCAUACAUGGAAUAGCAUUGAUGUAUCUCUCUAUCCAUGAUUUCUUUAUUCCAAGAUAUCUUUAUAUGGCUGAAAUCCUCAUAUCAAAUGAAGCCCAAAGCUAAUAUACAAAUCAAUCGCUUCUUCCUCGACCACCCAUGUGUGCCGCUGCUGCUGCACAACACUAGUUCGCUGCCACAAGCCCACAGAUGACCUCUUUUUUUUUAAAUAAGUUCAUUCACGUAAGUAACGGUAUAGAUAGAUAGAUGAGGAGAGUCACACGAUUGAGAAGACAAGACCCG
RNAcentral lists this long non-coding RNA (299 nucleotides) under Brassica rapa (field mustard). RNAcentral's name for it is "long non-coding RNA (BRAP_LNC003950)". Lineage: Eukaryota; Viridiplantae; Streptophyta; Magnoliopsida; Brassicales; Brassicaceae. The record is from RNAcentral.